Molecule: ribosomal RNA, 373 nt
Filed under: uncultured soil bacterium
Lineage: Bacteria
Description: bacterial SSU rRNA
Rfam family: Bacterial small subunit ribosomal RNA
Source: RNAcentral
GGAUUGAACGCUGGCGGCAGGCCUAACACAUGCAAGUCGAGCGGUAGAGAGGUGCUUGCACCUCUUGAGAGCGGCGGACGGGUGAGUAAUGCCUAGGAAUCUGCCUAGUGGUGGGGGAUAACGUUCGGAAACGGACGCUAAUACCGCAUACGUCCUACGGGAGAAAGCGGGGGACCUUCGGGCCUCGCGCCAUUAGAUGAGCCUAGGUCGGAUUAGCUAGUUGGUGAGGUAAUGGCUCACCAAGGCGACGAUCCGUAACUGGUCUGAGAGGAUGAUCAGUCACACUGGAACUGAGACACGGUCCAGACUCCUACGGGAGCAGCAGUGGGGAAUAUUGGACAAUGGGCGAAAGCCUGAUCCAGCCAUGCCGCGU